RNAcentral lists this small RNA (72 nucleotides) under Galbibacter orientalis DSM 19592. Its description in RNAcentral is "Joostella marina DSM 19592 Flavo-1 RNA". It matches the Rfam family "Flavo-1 RNA". Lineage: Bacteria; Pseudomonadati; Bacteroidota; Flavobacteriia; Flavobacteriales; Flavobacteriaceae. The record is from Rfam by way of RNAcentral.
CUUUAGCCCCGAUUGAAGCGACAUCCUUUUUUAUUUUUCAUAAAAAAGAUAUAGCAAAAAGCGGGAAAUAGC